Molecule: long non-coding RNA, 872 nt
Organism: Vombatus ursinus (common wombat)
Lineage: Eukaryota; Metazoa; Chordata; Mammalia; Diprotodontia; Vombatidae
Exons: 4
Source: RefSeq, a predicted model, not a curated record
GUCCAUCUGUCCUCCUCUGCUCCAUGGCCAGUCGACUUAUACAGCACACCAGUCAUAGAUUGGGAUGAAGCAUGGAAACCGCGGGAAGAGGCAGGCACUCAAAUCUGCCUCCACGGAUCUGGGGACUGCAGAUGUUGUCCUGGGACGGGUGUCGGAGGUGAGAGAUCUCCCUGAGGGCACGGCACCCGUGCAGAGGCCGACAAACUCUUCUCGCAGCUCGCCAUGUCCGGUGCCAAGAUCCAGUGGCUCAAGGACGCUCAGGGGUUGCCAGGACUUGACCUGCUUUUCAAAGAAGAUGUGUUGUUCCUGACUUUGGAAAUCUUUGAAAUAGACUGUUUUCUUGUUAUUUCCAAAGCUCUGACUGGUGAGAUGCUCUUUGAAACCUGGGGAAAAGAAGGAAAAAAGGGGAUCAGGGAACACCCUUCAGGAGGUGAAUGAGGAGAAAAAGUGGCCUUUUCCAAAAGUUGUGAUCCAAUACCCUUCAAUAGACUGUCAUCCCAAGGUCCCAUCAAGAUUACCAUUUUCUCAUCAUCAGAUUUCAUCAUUAUUGAAAGAAGAUCACUGGUCCAGAGUUAAGCAGAUACCCCACUUUAAUCAAGCUAGAACCAAGUUAUUACAACUUCCGAAUAGAAAGUUCAUUCCUGUACAACCCCAGAAAGACCAGAGAAAAACUCAACAGCUGUCUGCAUCUGGCAUUCAGAAAAUGUCUGACCUGUUACUGAUUCUUGACAAUUGGAAGAUGGCUAAAUCAACCAUACUCCAGAAUCGCCAUUAUAUGGCCACAGUUUUGCCUUCAAUAUACCAUGAGUACAAUGUUAAGGGAAUUUCAUUAUCUUUGCCAUCCCUAGAAUAAAAUGAGACACUUCUACUCA